This 152-nucleotide ribosomal RNA is filed under the name uncultured Flexibacter sp. RNAcentral describes it as "partial 16S ribosomal RNA". It matches the Rfam family "Bacterial small subunit ribosomal RNA", at positions 370 to 525 of the family's 1533-position model. Lineage: Bacteria; Pseudomonadati; Bacteroidota; Cytophagia; Cytophagales; Flexibacteraceae. The record is from RNAcentral.
AAUGGUGAGAGCUGACAGCCAUGCCGCGUGCAGGAGACGGCCUUCUGGGUUGUAAACUGCUUUUAUCUGGGGAUAAAAAGCCCAUGCGUGGGACAUUGAAGGUACCAGAUGAAUAAGCACCGGCUAACUACGUGCCAGCAGCCGCGGUAAUA